GGGUUGUGAGGUUAAGCGACUAAGCGUACACGGUGGAUGCCCUGGCAGUCAGAGGCGAUGAAGGACGUGCUAAUCUGCGAAAAGCGUCGGUAAGGUGAUAUGAACCGUUACAGCCGGCGAUGUCCGAAUGGGGAAACCCAGUGCAAUUCGUUGCACUAUCGUUAACUGAAUACAUAGGUUAACGAGGCGAACCGGGGGAACUGAAACAUCUAAGUACCCCGAGGAAAAGAAAUCAACCGAGAUUCCCCCAGUAGCGGCGAGCGAACGGGGAGCAGCCCAGAGUCUGAAUCAGCUUGUGUGUUAGUGGAACGGUCUGGAAAGUCCGACGGUACAGGGUGAUAGUCCCGUACACCAAAAUGCACAGGCUGUGAACUCGAAGAGUAGGGCGGGACACGUGGUAUCCUGUCUGAAUAUGGGGGGACCAUCCUCCAAGGCUAAAUACUCCUGACUGACCGAUAGUGAACCAGUACCGUGAGGGAAAGGCGAAAAGAACCCCGGCGAGGGGAGUGAAAAAGAACCUGAAACCGUGUACGUACAAGCAGUGGGAGCACCUUCGGGUGUGACUGCGUACCUUUUGUAUAAUGGGUCAGCGACUUAUAUUCUGUAGCAAGGUUAACCGUAUAGGGGAGCCGCAGGGAAACCGAGUCUUAACUGGGCGUUAAGUUGCAGGGUAUAGACCCGAAACCCGGUGAUCUAGCCAUGGGCAGGUUGAAGGUUGGGUAACACUAACUGGAGGACCGAACCGACUAAUGUUGAAAAAUUAGCGGAUGACUUGUGGCUGGGGGUGAAAGGCCAAUCAAACCGGGAGAUAGCUGGUUCUCCCCGAAAGCUAUUUAGGUAGCGCCUCGUGAACUCAUCUUCGGGGGUAGAGCACUGUUUCGGCUAGGGGGUCAUCCCGACUUACCAACCCGAUGCAAACUACGAAUACCGAAGAAUGUUAUCACGGGAGACACACGGCGGGUGCUAACGUCCGUCGUGAAGAGGGAAACAACCCAGACCGCCAGCUAAGGUCCCAAAGUCACAGUUAAGUGGGAAACGAUGUGGGAAGGCACAGACAGCCAGGAUGUUGGCUUAGAAGCAGCCAUCAUUUAAAGAAAGCGUAAUAGCUCACUGGUCGAGUCGGCCUGCGCGGAAGAUGUAACGGGGCUAAACUGUGCACCGAAGCUGCGGCAGCGACACGAUGUGUUGUUGGGUAGGGGAGCGUUCUGUAAGCCUGCGAAGGUGGCCUGUGAGGGUUGCUGGAGGUAUCAGAAGUGCGAAUGCUGACAUAAGUAACGAUAAUGCGGGUGAAAAGCCCGCACGCCGGAAGACCAAGGGUUCCUGUCCAACGUUAAUCGGGGCAGGGUGAGUCGACCCCUAAGGCGAGGCCGAAAGGCGUAGUCGAUGGGAAACAGGUUAAUAUUCCUGUACUUGGUGUUACUGCGAAGGGGGGACGGAGAAGGCUAUGUUAGCCGGGCGACGGUUGUCCCGGUUUAAGCAUGUAGGCGGAGGUUCCAGGUAAAUCCGGUACCUUUUUAACGCUGAGGUGUGAUGACGAGGCACUACGGUGCUGAAGUAACAAAUGCCCUGCUUCCAGGAAAAGCCUCUAAGCAUCAGGUAACAUUAAAUCGUACCCCAAACCGACACAGGUGGUCAGGUAGAGAAUACCAAGGCGCUUGAGAGAACUCGGGUGAAGGAACUAGGCAAAAUGGUGCCGUAACUUCGGGAGAAGGCACGCUGAUAUGUAGGUGAAGCCCCUGCGGGUGGAGCUGAAAUCAGUCGAAGAUACCAGCUGGCUGCAACUGUUUAUUAAAAACACAGCACUGUGCAAACACGAAAGUGGACGUAUACGGUGUGACGCCUGCCCGGUGCCGGAAGGUUAAUUGAUGGGGUUAUCCGUAAGGAGAAGCUCUUGAUCGAAGCCCCGGUAAACGGCGGCCGUAACUAUAACGGUCCUAAGGUAGCGAAAUUCCUUGUCGGGUAAGUUCCGACCUGCACGAAUGGCGUAAUGAUGGCCAGGCUGUCUCCACCCGAGACUCAGUGAAAUUGAACUCGCUGUGAAGAUGCAGUGUACCCGCGGCAAGACGGAAAGACCCCGUGAACCUUUACUAUAGCUUGACACUGAACAUUGAGCCUUGAUGUGUAGGAUAGGUGGGAGGCUUUGAAGCGUGGACGCCAGUCUGCGUGGAGCCAACCUUGAAAUACCACCCUUUAAUGUUUGAUGUUCUAACGUUGGCCCCUUAUCGGGGUUGCGGACAGUGUCUGGUGGGUAGUUUGACUGGGGCGGUCUCCUCCCAAAGAGUAACGGAGGAGCACGAAGGUUAGCUAAUCCUGGUCGGACAUCAGGAGGUUAGUGCAAUGGCAUAAGCUAGCUUGACUGCGAGCGUGACGGCGCGAGCAGGUGCGAAAGCAGGUCAUAGUGAUCCGGUGGUUCUGAAUGGAAGGGCCAUCGCUCAACGGAUAAAAGGUACUCCGGGGAUAACAGGCUGAUACCGCCCAAGAGUUCAUAUCGACGGCGGUGUUUGGCACCUCGAUGUCGGCUCAUCACAUCCUGGGGCUGAAGUAGGUCCCAAGGGUAUGGCUGUUCGCCAUUUAAAGUGGUACGCGAGCUGGGUUUAGAACGUCGUGAGACAGUUCGGUCCCUAUCUGCCGUGGGCGCUGGAGAAUUGAGGGGGGCUGCUCCUAGUACGAGAGGACCGGAGUGGACGCAUCACUGGUGUUCGGGUUGUCAUGCCAAUGGCAUUGCCCGGUAGCUAAAUGCGGAAGAGAUAAGUGCUGAAAGCAUCUAAGCACGAAACUUGCCCCGAGAUGAGUUCUCCCUGAGACUUUAAGUCUCCUGAAGGAACGUUAAAGACGAUGACGUUGAUAGGUCGGGUGUGUAAGCGUAGCGAUACGUUGAGCUAACCGAUACUAAUGAACCGUGAGGCUUAACCUUACAACGCCGAAGGUGUUU
Molecule: ribosomal RNA, 2932 nt
Filed under: Klebsiella aerogenes
Lineage: Bacteria; Pseudomonadati; Pseudomonadota; Gammaproteobacteria; Enterobacterales; Enterobacteriaceae
Description: 23S ribosomal RNA
Rfam family: Bacterial large subunit ribosomal RNA
Source: RNAcentral